RNAcentral lists this ribosomal RNA (554 nucleotides) under Alternaria alternata. Its description in RNAcentral is "eukaryotic LSU rRNA". The stretch from base 200 to 353 matches the Rfam family "5.8S ribosomal RNA". The record is from RNAcentral. Lineage: Eukaryota; Fungi; Ascomycota; Dothideomycetes; Pleosporales; Pleosporaceae.
CGAUCUCCGUAGGUGACCUGCGGAGGGAUCAUUACACAAAUAUGAAGGCGGGCUGGAACCUCUCGGGGUUACAGCCUUGCUGAAUUAUUCACCCUUGUCUUUUGCGUACUUCUUGUUUCCUUGGUGGGUUCGCCCACCACUAGGACAAACAUAAACCUUUUGUAAUUGCAAUCAGCGUCAGUAACAAAUUAAUAAUUACAACUUUCAACAACGGAUCUCUUGGUUCUGGCAUCGAUGAAGAACGCAGCGAAAUGCGAUAAGUAGUGUGAAUUGCAGAAUUCAGUGAAUCAUCGAAUCUUUGAACGCACAUUGCGCCCUUUGGUAUUCCAAAGGGCAUGCCUGUUCGAGCGUCAUUUGUACCCUCAAGCUUUGCUUGGUGUUGGGCGUCUUGUCUCUAGCUUUGCUGGAGACUCGCCUUAAAGUAAUUGGCAGCCGGCCUACUGGUUUCGGAGCGCAGCACAAGUCGCACUCUCUAUCAGCAAAGGUCUAGCAUCCAUUAAGCCUUUUUUUCAACUUUUGACCUCGGAUCAGGUAGGGAUACCCGCUGAACUUAA